AAACAGAGAAGCCCCAAAAAAAGUCAAUGUACUAACUUAUACAAUAUGAAAAAUACAAUUUUUUUUCCUGUAAUAAGUUCCAUGAAAACAGAGAAGCCCCAAAAAAACAGAACCCAUCAGGACACAACACAAAGCUUCAAUAUAACCAACAAUGAAGUACAUACCUUGUCAGAAAAAGCAGUGUCAGGGGUCGAAGCCAUUCCUCAAAGUAACCAACAAAGAUACACAAACCAACUUCUCAGGGGUCGAAGCCCUUCCACCGACAACGGUUAAACC
Molecule: long non-coding RNA, 276 nt
Filed under: Vigna radiata
Lineage: Eukaryota; Viridiplantae; Streptophyta; Magnoliopsida; Fabales; Fabaceae
Description: long non-coding RNA (VRAD_LNC007022)
Source: RNAcentral